UAAGGUGCGCUCAGGGAAGAUAGAAACCUCUCGUAGAGCAGAAGGGCAAAAGCUCGCUUGAUCUUGAUUUUCAAUACNAAUGCAGACCAUGGAGGCUGG
RNAcentral lists this non-coding RNA (99 nucleotides) under Neotoma lepida (desert woodrat). RNAcentral describes it as "Eukaryotic large subunit ribosomal RNA". It matches the Rfam family "Eukaryotic large subunit ribosomal RNA", at positions 2664 to 2763 of the family's 3401-position model. Lineage: Eukaryota; Metazoa; Chordata; Mammalia; Rodentia; Cricetidae. The record is from Rfam by way of RNAcentral.